RNAcentral lists this microRNA (21 nucleotides) under Human alphaherpesvirus 1 (Herpes simplex virus type 1). Its description in RNAcentral is "hsv1-miR-H3-3p". Its record names the gene hsv1-miR-H3-3p. Lineage: Duplodnaviria; Heunggongvirae; Peploviricota; Herviviricetes; Herpesvirales; Orthoherpesviridae. The record is from miRBase by way of RNAcentral.
CUGGGACUGUGCGGUUGGGAC